UACAGAGGGGGCAAGCGUUGUUCGGAAUUACUGGGCGUAAAGGGCGCGUAGGCGGCCUCUUAAGUCGAACGUGAAAUCCCCGGGCUCAACCCGGGAACUGCGCCCGGUACUGGGGGGCUUGAAUCCGGGAGAGGGAUGUGGAAUUCCAGGUGUAGCGGUGAAAUGCGUAGAUAUCAAGAGGAACACCUGCGGCGAAGGCGGGUUGCUGGGCCGACACUGACGCUGAGGCGCGAAAGCCAGGGGAGCGAACGGG
This 253-nucleotide ribosomal RNA is filed under the name uncultured bacterium. Its description in RNAcentral is "partial 16S ribosomal RNA". It matches the Rfam family "Bacterial small subunit ribosomal RNA", at positions 524 to 776 of the family's 1533-position model. The record is from RNAcentral.